This 495-nucleotide ribosomal RNA is filed under the name uncultured bacterium. Its description in RNAcentral is "partial 16S ribosomal RNA". It matches the Rfam family "Bacterial small subunit ribosomal RNA", at positions 28 to 507 of the family's 1533-position model. The record is from RNAcentral.
GACGAACGCUGGCGGCGUGCCUAAUGCAUGCAAGUAGAACGCUGAAGGAGGAGCUUGCUUCUCUGGAUGAGUUGCGAACGGGUGAGUAACGCGUAGGUAACCUGCCUGGUAGCGGGGGAUAACUAUUGGAAACGAUAGCUAAUACCGCAUAAGAGUAGAUGUUGCAUGACAUUUGCUUAAAAGGUGCACUUGCAUCACUACCAGAUGGACCUGCGUUGUAUUAGCUAGUUGGUGGGGUAACGGCUCACCAAGGCGACGAUACAUAGCCGGCCUGAGAGGGGGAUCGGCCACACUGGGACUGAGACACGGCCCAGACUCCUACGGGAGGCAGCAGUAGGGAAUCUUCGGCAAUGGACGGAAGUCUGACCGAGCAACGCCGCGUGAGUGAAGAAGGUUUUCGGAUCGUAAAGCUCUGUUGUAAGAGAAGAACGAGUGUGAGAGUGGAAAGUUCACACUGUGACGGUAUCUGACCAGAAAGGGACGGCUAACUACGUG